UACGUAGGGUGCAAGCGUUAAUCGGAAUUACUGGGCGUAAAGCGUGCGCAGGCGGUUAUGCAAGACAGAUGUGAAAUCCCCGGGCUCAACCUGGGAACUGCAUUUGUGACUGCAUGGCUAGAGUGCGGCAGAGGGGGAUGGAAUUCCGCGUGUAGCAGUGAAAUGCGUAGAUAUGCGGAGGAACACUGAUGGCGAAGGUAAUUUCCUGGGUUUGUACUGACGCUCAUGCACGAAAGCGUGGGGAGCAAACAGG
This 253-nucleotide ribosomal RNA is filed under the name uncultured bacterium. RNAcentral's name for it is "partial 16S ribosomal RNA". It matches the Rfam family "Bacterial small subunit ribosomal RNA", at positions 524 to 776 of the family's 1533-position model. The record is from RNAcentral.